UUUCCACUCCCAGAAAGCAAUUACAAACGAAGUUCCCAAAAUAACAAAAACCCCAAAAAUCAAACAAAAAACCUAAUUCAAUCAAUCAAUCAAUCAAUCAAUCAAUCAAAUUCGGAUUUGUAUUUGAAUACAAAUCGAGAUUCAACUAAAGAGAUCUUUGGAAUUGGGUUUUGAUUCUGUUGGGAGAGAUGAAUGGUGGUGGUGGUAGAGGCAAUUACAGAAACCCUUGUUUGACGAUGCAUCAACCAUGGGCAUCAUUGUUAGUCUAUGGUAUUAAGCGUAUCGAAGGAAGAUCAUGGCCUGCUCCUAUUAGAGGCCGACUUUGGAUCCACGCUGCUGGUAAAGUUCCGGAUCAAGAGACAAUCAAAGCAAUGGAAGACUUUUAUAGAGAAAUCUAUAAAGUGAACGGAGUUGGAGAAUUGAAAUUUCCAGAGCAUUAUCCAACUUCACGACUAUUAGGUUGUAUUGAUGUGGUUGGGUGUCUUAGGCGGAAUGAAGUCGAGUGUUGGCAGGAGGUACCCGAAGGGGUGAGACUAGAAGCUCAAACGGAUUUUUGCUGGCUAUGUGAAAAUCCACAGAGAUUAUUGAUCCCAUUUGAGAUGCGAGGGUUUCAAGGUGUGUAUAACUUGGAAAGACGGAUAUAUGACGCCGCAGUUAGAGGUCUCACUCCAGUUAAAAGUCCAUUACCUGUAAAGUUUCCACUUCCACAUUCCAGAGAUUCUUUCUCUCUGAAACCAGGAUCACUUGUCUCGAGCUUGUCUUCUUUGAAAGUAUCUGAAGUUAAAAAACCAGAGACUCUUAUGGCAGCUAUUGCUGGUGCACGCGCUGCAGCUACCCAAUACUCAAAGCAACCUCAGAGAUCCCCAACUACUAACACAAUCCCACAAAGAGAUGAUCCAGAUUCUAGAGAAGCAAGUCAGUUUAAGAACAAAUCAAAUUAUUCAGAAAUGAACGAAAGGCAUGUUGCAGAGCAUGAUCGCCCAGUUCAAAAUGGAAAUUUGGCGCAUAAUGUAAGAAACAGUCGAGAGUUUUCUGAUGGUACAAGUUGUAGUAGCCAAAUUCAAGAUCAUAGUAGAGAUUGGAACCAUCGACCGCAGGACAGAACUGUCGAGGAGUCCAGAAACCCUGCAACCAUUGUCUCAGACAGGUCUCGACUACCACAAAAUGAACGUUACAGAGACCAUGGUGGACGAAGGAAUUGGUAGCGGUACAGUUCUAGAGAUAUGAAACUCAUUGUUGGGACUCCUGAGGGUUCAUUAAUCAGCACCUGGAAUCAAAUCCGGCGAUGGGUGAAUAGGUUCCUUUACCUCGUGGACACUCAUGAUUUUGUUAUUGGAUAUUUCUCAUGUCACCUAUUGCGCAUGCCUCUGUGACUGUCUUUCCCCUGAUUCUCACUGCAGCAAUGAAAGGCCUUAGGCCCGCAUGAUAAGUGUUUAAACCAUGGAUUCAUUAAAGCACAGACUUGAAUGGCUAUAUAUGGAUGAUUCAGUACAGGUAUUUCGAUGGAUGCAGGCAAAUGGCUCGCAUAAGUGAAACUGCUAUUUCUGGAAUAGCAGAGUAUGCAUGUUGUACUAUAGAUUAUGGGUCAUAACUCGUAAGGGAUCCAAGAAUGGGGUGAUAAAUCAAUCGAAAGCCGGAAAUGCGUUAUAAAAUGAUACAGUAACCUACUCCCAGUCAUCUUUUACAUAUACAGACUCAGCUACAGAACUUUUGUUG
Papaver somniferum (opium poppy) is the source of this 1716-nucleotide RNA transcript. RefSeq lists it as uncharacterized. Lineage: Eukaryota; Viridiplantae; Streptophyta; Magnoliopsida; Ranunculales; Papaveraceae. The record is from RefSeq and is a predicted model, not a curated record. The transcript is spliced from 9 exons.